Molecule: ribosomal RNA, 598 nt
Filed under: uncultured bacterium
Lineage: Bacteria
Description: bacterial SSU rRNA
Rfam family: Bacterial small subunit ribosomal RNA
Source: RNAcentral
CCUACGGGAGGCAGCAGUGGGGAAUAUUGCACAAUGGGCGCAAGCCUGAUGCAGCGACGCCGCGUGAGGGAUGACGGCCUUCGGGUUGUAAACCUCUUUCAGUAGGGAAGAAGCGAAAGUGACGGUACCUGCAGAAGAAGCGCCGGCUAACUACGUGCCAGCAGCCGCGGUAAUACGUAGGGCGCAAGCGUUAUCCGGAAUUAUUGGGCGUAAAGAGCUCGUAGGCGGUUUGUCGCGUCUGCCGUGAAAGUCCGGGGCUCAACUCCGGAUCUGCGGUGGGUACGGGCAGACUAGAGUGAUGUAGGGGAGACUGGAAUUCCUGGUGUAGCGGUGAAAUGCGCAGAUAUCAGGAGGAACACCGAUGGCGAAGGCAGGUCUCUGGGCAUUAACUGACGCUGAGGAGCGAAAGCAUGGGGAGCGAACAGGAUUAGAUACCCUGGUAGUCCAUGCCGUAAACGUUGGGCACUAGGUGUGGGGGACAUUCCACGUUUUCCGCGCCGUAGCUAACGCAUUAAGUGCCCCGCCUGGGGAGUACGGCCGCAAGGCUAAAACUCAAAGGAAUUGACGGCNGAGAGNGCGAGACGACACGAGGGAGAGG